UACGAAGGGGGCUAGCGUUGUUCGGAUUUACUGGGCGUAAAGCGCACGUAGGCGGAUCGUUAAGUCGGGGGUGAAAUCCUGGAGCUCAACUCCAGAACUGCCUUCGAUACUGGCGAUCUUGAGUCCGGAAGAGGUGAGUGGAACUCCUAGUGUAGAGGUGGAAUUCGUAGAUAUUAGGAAGAACACCGGUGGCGAAGGCGGCGACCUGGUCCUUGACUGACGCUGAGGCGACGAAGCGUGGGGAGCAAACAGG
RNAcentral lists this ribosomal RNA (253 nucleotides) under uncultured bacterium. Its description in RNAcentral is "partial 16S ribosomal RNA". It matches the Rfam family "Bacterial small subunit ribosomal RNA", at positions 524 to 776 of the family's 1533-position model. The record is from RNAcentral.